Molecule: ribosomal RNA, 254 nt
Filed under: uncultured bacterium
Lineage: Bacteria
Description: partial 16S ribosomal RNA
Rfam family: Bacterial small subunit ribosomal RNA
Source: RNAcentral
UACGUAGGGGGCGAGCGUUGUCCGAAGUUACUGGGCGUAAAGCGCGCGUAGGCGGUCAUUUAAGUCUGAGGUGAAAGGUUCAGCGCUCAACGUGAACAGUGCCUUGGAUACUGGGUGACUUGAGUUCGGGAGGGGGCAGUGGAAUUCCAGGUGUAGCGGUGAAAUGCGUAGAUAUCUGGAGGAACACCGAUGGCGAAGGCAGCUGCCUGGCCCAGAACUGCCGCUGAGGUGCGAAAGCGUGGGGAGCGAACGGG